CCUCGUCAUCCCCUCUCCUUGUUUCCACUUGCAAUUCAAGAUCUGUUCUGCUCCGAGUAUAGCGGGAAGUUAGGGUUUCGUGCUUUAGUCUCUAGAUCGCGACUUCAGAAUUGGGGACUUUUCUGUCUAAAUCCGAACCCAUUUCAUACUGUGAGAAGGGUACAAUACUAGAUCGAUAUAUUUCGUGCAAUGCUUGUGAUGCUUGUGAAGUACUUGCGACACAAUUGCUUACAUGCUGCAUAUUGAUAUCAUUUUUUUCUGUUUUCUGAAACAGUUAAAUCAGUAUUUCUGGGUCGUAGUUCUAUAGACAAUUUUUUUCCUCAUGUAGCUUAGGAAACUUUUGGCACAAUGAUAGUUCAAGUGGUUGAUUUAUUAAGUCCUGCCAUCGUUUGCUAUUGCUGUGCUGCAGACUGUCCCUGAAAUUGGCUUCAGGGGUUCUCCUUAUUUUUCUUACAAUGAACUUGAUUAGGCUGUUUUUUGUGUAUCCCUACCAGAUUUCGGGAUGAGAUAAAUUUUUGAAGGUCAUUGAGUUUCGUCGCCGACAACUUCAUCAGGAUACACUGUUUGUCUAUAUCAACAGUGCAUUUUCGCCAAACCCAGACGAACUGGUAGUUGACUUGUAUAACAACUUUGGAAUUGAUGGGAAACUGGUGGUAAAUUAUGCUUUAUCAGCAGCAUGGGGCUGAAGUUGCUGCAGCAGCAAAGAGAUACCCUGAAAAUUCUUCCUGGCGAUUGUAAAUCACAUCUAGUUUUAGUGUUCGUUGACACUGUAAAUCUAAUUUUGUAAAGGUUAGUUUUCAUACUAGUGUCUAAUGGCGCACCAUUUACACGGUAGAAGAAUCAAUGAUUUUAUUAUUGUUUAAAAAGUAGCAUGACUGCAUGAGCUCGAUAAUUAAAAUUGAAGAAA
This is a long non-coding RNA of Panicum virgatum (switchgrass), 907 nucleotides long. RefSeq lists it as uncharacterized. Lineage: Eukaryota; Viridiplantae; Streptophyta; Magnoliopsida; Poales; Poaceae. The record is from RefSeq and is a predicted model, not a curated record. The transcript has 3 exons.